Molecule: ribosomal RNA, 375 nt
Filed under: Staphylococcus aureus
Lineage: Bacteria; Bacillati; Bacillota; Bacilli; Caryophanales; Staphylococcaceae
Description: partial 23S ribosomal RNA
Rfam family: Bacterial large subunit ribosomal RNA
Source: RNAcentral
GGGGGGACGCAGUAGGAUAGGCGAAGCGUGCGAUUGGGUUGCACGUCUAAGCAGUCAGGCUGAGUAUUAGGCAAAUCCGGUACUCGUUAAGGCUGAGCUGUGAUGGGGAGAAGACAUUGUGUCUUCGAGUCGUUGAUUUCACACUGCCGAGAAAAGCCUCUAGAUAGAAAAUAGGUGCCCGUACCGCAAACCGACACAGGUAGGCAAGAUGAGAAUUCUAAGGUGAGCGAGCGAACUCUCGUUAAGGAACUCGGCAAAAUGACCCCGUAACUUCGGGAGAAGGGGUGCUCUUUAGGGUUAACGCCCAGAAGAGCCGCAGUGAAUAGGCCCAAGCGACUGUUUAUCAAAAACACAGGUCUCUGCUAAACCGUAAGG